RNAcentral lists this ribosomal RNA (166 nucleotides) under Orthocarpus bracteosus. RNAcentral's name for it is "5.8S ribosomal RNA". It matches the Rfam family "5.8S ribosomal RNA". From Rfam's summary of the family: 5.8S ribosomal RNA (5.8S rRNA) is a component of the large subunit of the eukaryotic ribosome. It is transcribed by RNA polymerase I as part of the 45S precursor that also contains 18S and 28S rRNA. Functionally, it is thought that 5.8S rRNA may be involved in ribosome translocation. Lineage: Eukaryota; Viridiplantae; Streptophyta; Magnoliopsida; Lamiales; Orobanchaceae. The record is from RNAcentral.
CAUAACGACUCUCGGCAACGGAUAUCUCGGCUCUCGCAUCGAUGAAGAACGUAGCGAAAUGCGAUACUUGGUGUGAAUUGCAGAAUCCCGUGAACCAUCGAGUCUUUGAACGCAAGUUGCGCCCGAAGCCUCUCGGCCGAGGGCACGCCUGCCUGGGCGUCACGCA